GAUGAACGCUGGCGGCGUGCCUAACACAUGCAAGUCGAGCGAACAGACGAGGAGCUUGCUCCUCUGACGUUAGCGGCGGACGGGUGAGUAACACGUGGAUAACCUACCUAUAAGACUGGGAUAACUUCGGGAAACCGGAGCUAAUACCGGAUAAUAUAUUGAACCGCAUGGUUCAAUAGUGAAAGACGGUUUUGCUGUCACUUAUAGAUGGAUCCGCGCCGCAUUAGCUAGUUGGUAAGGUAACGGCUUACCAAGGCAACGAUGCGUAGCCGACCUGAGAGGGUGAUCGGCCACACUGGAACUGAGACACGGUCCAGACUCCUACGGGAGGCAGCAGUAGGGAAUCUUCCGCAAAGGGCGAAAGCCUGACGGAGCAACGCCGCGUGAGUGAUGAAGGUCUUCGGAUCGUAAAACUCUGUUAUUAGGGAAGAACAAAUGUGUAAGUAACUAUGCACGUCUUGACGGUACCUAAUCAGAAAGCCACGGCUAACUACGUG
This 497-nucleotide ribosomal RNA is filed under the name uncultured bacterium. Its description in RNAcentral is "partial 16S ribosomal RNA". It matches the Rfam family "Bacterial small subunit ribosomal RNA", at positions 28 to 507 of the family's 1533-position model. The record is from RNAcentral.